UGUUCUGUAAAGGCACAACGACUCAGCAUCAUGGCGCCCUCUAUCGGAGGUGUUCCUAUUAUUUCAUACAUUCGUCGGUCACUUUAAUAGGCGCACCUGUACCCCUCCCUGCGCAUGCAUGCUAUUAUCCAUUUAUCCAAGCAGGACAGAGUCGCCCUGGUCUUUUACCAGUCUUCAUCAAUGCACUUUUGGAAAUUUUGCAUGGAGCUCAGCCGUUUCUGAAAUACUCAAACCAGCCCAUCUUUCAGCGUCAACCAUGCUACAGUCAAAGUCGCUGAGAUCACAUUUUUCCUCAUUCUGAUGUUUGAUGUGGACAUUAACCAAAGCUUUUGACCUGUAUCUGCAGGGUUGUAUUCACUGCACAGCUUCCAUGUGAUUAGCUGUUAACUGCUUGAAUGAGUAGUUGUACAGAUGUUAAUAUUAACAUGAACUGUGAGUCUAUGUUGGUUAUACAGCAUGUGUUCCAUAGUUUGUCUCAUAAAUAUAUCCUCAUUAAAUUAAUGCAUAAUUUU
Long non-coding RNA from Ictalurus punctatus (channel catfish), 512 nucleotides. RefSeq lists it as uncharacterized. The transcript has 2 exons. Lineage: Eukaryota; Metazoa; Chordata; Actinopteri; Siluriformes; Ictaluridae. The record is from RefSeq and is a predicted model, not a curated record.